GGGACCUUAGCAUAAUGGUAAUGCAAAUGACUUUUAAUCCUUCCGAUGUUGGUUCGAAUCCGUCAGGUCUCA
RNAcentral lists this transfer RNA (72 nucleotides) under Collariella sp. IMI 366227. RNAcentral's name for it is "tRNA-Lys". It matches the Rfam family "tRNA". From Rfam's summary of the family: Transfer RNA (tRNA) molecules are approximately 80 nucleotides in length. Their secondary structure includes four short double-helical elements and three loops (D, anti-codon, and T loops). Lineage: Eukaryota; Fungi; Ascomycota; Sordariomycetes; Sordariales; Chaetomiaceae. The record is from RNAcentral.